RNAcentral lists this long non-coding RNA (4458 nucleotides) under Mus musculus (house mouse). RNAcentral describes it as "long non-coding RNA chr4:3605682-3610140". Lineage: Eukaryota; Metazoa; Chordata; Mammalia; Rodentia; Muridae. The record is from RNAcentral.
GGAUUCCAAAUCAUGUAUCUGAUGUUUUGGAUUUUAAAUAUGUACCUUUUUGUUGCUUACAAAAGUGUACUUGGUUAGUGACAAGUAAUGAGCAUCUCUUCACUCAGAAAUUUAACUUCUUACCCUUAACUGUUCUUCACCUUUGAAAUUUUCAGGCUUUCCCAGAAGAUCACUAAUAAUAUUGUUUAUUUUCUUCCAAGAAAUGCUGAUAUUGACCAGGUAAGCCAUUACUAAGGAAAUUCUGUACACCUCUACUUAAUGGGUAAUUAAUUGCCUUACCAGAGAACCUGCUGUGAGAAGUCCCUAACUGAUGUCUUACAUCCCUCCACCACCACAGCUCCUGAGAAGGAGAUGAUAUCACUAGGGUUUUAUGAAGAUGGAUUGACAGGAUGACCAGUUAUGUCAUGUUACAGGUGCUGCAUGGCAACCAUCCAAGGCCUGCCUUUCUGUAUUUUGGAAAAUAGUAACUCAGUUAAAGAGACGAGAUCUUAGGAAGGUGUAGAGGUUCAUAAUUCCAGUACUCGGCAGAAUCAGGAGGGUUCCUGUGAGUAGUAAGGAGAAAAAAAGAAGGAAGCAAGUGUCCUUUAGCUUAAACCAGAACAGUUUCACUGUCCUCACGUCUCUUGUUCUUUUACUGGAACACCUGUUUACAUCAUGCUGGCCCUCUGUGAUUUUAGUGUGUUAGACUUUACUUUCUCCUUCCUAAUCUCCCAGUCUGUCCCUUCAACUCAUGGCUAUUCAUUCCUUAUAAAGUUAGGUGUGUGUAUUUUACCUGUGUUUUCUCUGUCUUAUCUAAGACUCUCAUAGUUUUAGUUGAAUAGAUUUCUCCAACCACUGGCCCACUCAGGAUAAUGCUGACCUACUGACAAAAAUUGUCUGGUAUAUUUUCCAGGGUGAGGCCCAAGCAUAAAUUGUUCUAGCUUUCCAAGUAGUUCUAGUGUGCUCCAUAGUUGAGAUUCUCUGGGUUAUAAAAGGAGUACGUGAAAAGCUAGCACUUAGACUGAAGUAGAGGAAAUGUAAACUCUGGCUUCCCUUCUGUCAUCUAUUUAUAAUCUACUUGUCCCAGCAUUAAGCUUCCCAAGACAGUGUAUAUGAAUGUCACUUGCAUUCUUUGGAGCUGUGAGUUUCCAACAUCAGCCUUCACAUUGAACAUAUUCCUUGUGUAACUACUUUCUAGACUUAGGCACCCACGAUACUCCAAAGCUGUCUCCUAAGAGGCUGUAUGAUCUGUGUAGUCCUAGUACAUGCAGACAAACUCACUUGGGUAUUUUGUAGCAAUGGGAAAACACACACACACACACACCCUCCCCAAAUAGGGUUUUCCAUGCCCUGAUUGUAGACCAGGCUGGCCUCAAACUCAGAGAUCCACCUGCCUACCUGCCUGUAAUUCCCAGAAUUGAUAUUAAAGGUGUGUGCCAACAUUGCCUGGCUAGAAGCCACAUUUCAGUAUGAAAAUUUAGUGAUUAAAUUUCUUUUGACACAAAGAAAAAUUAGCUUGCUUUUUACUUUUGUUUUUGUGCUUAAAACUUGUCAGAAUUAGACUUGUAGAAACUGGGAAGAUGGUUCAAUUGGUAAACAAAGGAAGACACCUGCUAUCAACCUCUGGCCUCCACACAGCAUGUACCCCACUCCCUUGUGUCCCACUUGUAUGUGAGUACUCAUAUAAACACAAGCACACAGUACUAAACUGCCUAGUCCUUCAUGUUUUCUGCCUCUAGAGGGAGUAAUGAGGCUAGAAAAUGAUAAAGGAAAUGACUUGGUACGAAGUGUAGAUGGAAUGAACUGCAAUGGGAAGUCACUUUUUUUUUUAAGAGAGAAAAUAUAUCUGUGUGAGGUUUUUAAAAUGAAAAAAGAUUGAGUAAUAAAAGCUUGAAAGAGUGUGAAGAGUUGGUUAUGAAUCUGCUGUCUGAAUUCAUAAAUGUAUCUUUAGCAGACAUUAAAUUCCAUUUCAGAGAGGUUAUGCUAUGUCCUACUGACUGCCAAGCUGAGUAUGCAGAUAGAGCCUGGCUUAGGAAUCGUUUGUGUAGGAGAUGGUACCCAUUGAUUUUUUUUUUUUUUUUAAGCUGGGGAAAUCUUUUUCUGGGUUUCCUAUUUCCUUGACCUCUCGUUCCCCUUUUCCUUGUGGAGUCAUUCUAGAUCAUGCGUCCUUUGCUAUCAUACACUCACUGUAAAACCAGAACUAAUUUGUUCAAAACAUCUUUUUGUGAGAGGCUCUGUGGAAAUAGGUAUUAAUCAGAAAUUGCGACCUACAGAAAUAGGUAUCUAUCAAAACCACACAAAGCCAGGGCCUUGGGUCUGGCGCGGAGAGACCACCGUUUGAAUUGUGUCUUGCUGCUGCUGCUGCUGCUUCCUGUUCCCUGCUGUUUGCCUUCAUUUCUCUCCCUUAAGUCUCAAGCCCAGGCAGCACUGGUUUUGCAGUCACCACACAUGGCAAACAUGAAAACUUCAUUUAAAGGUGUAAGCCUAUGUAGUAGAGAGGGAUGCCUCUCAAUAUAUCAGUUAUCUAAGGAGAGCUGCAUGCAGCAGGUUCAGACACCGUUUAUAUUUGAAAUCUGUGUGAGAGCAUAAGAUAAUGAGAACAGGCCCCUCAGCCCUUGUGGUGUAGUAACCCUUUCUUCAUUUGCUUUCAAAACCACACAAAACUGCAGCACUUAGACUCUUCAGUUCAGAUUAAGCACUUAGAUCAUGUUCAUGCUGAUUCACAUAACAGGGUAACACUGAGCAGCCUCCCUACAAUUGUGUUAGAGUAAACGUGGUGGCUGGAGAGGAGGCCCAGCAACUAAGAGCACUGGCUGCUCUUUAGGAGCUAGGCUUUAAUUCCCAGCACCCACAUGCUCAAAACUGGGUAUAACACCCUCUUCUGGCCUCUUCAGGUACUGCACAUUCAUACACAGGUACACAGACAUUUGUGCAGAAUACUAAUCCAUACACAUAAAAAUAAGAUACACCUGUAGCCAUCCACCAGACAACUCCUGACCCUUCUCUAGGAUAACCCCACCCUCUCUAGCUCUUUGAGAUGUAUAUCCUAAUAAUACCUAUUUUAUUUCAAACAUCUGUAUUCUCUUUGGCUUUUAAAGUUUUUUCUAUAGGAGGCUGAAAGUAUAGCUAAGUGGUAGAUUGUAUUAGUAUGUAUAAGUCCCUGGGCUCAAUCCAUAGUAUCAAAACUGAAUUCUAUUCCAUAUGUAGUUCAGGGGAUGGGUGGCUGCUAAUUACUAAGCUAUAUCAUCACCCCCUAUAGUUGAUGUUCGUUGGUAUAUAGGUAAGAAGAUAGGUAAAGAAUAAGGAUGUUUUUGAAAAUAUUCCUAAGGGUUUUUUUUUUUUUAACUAUGUCUGAAUGUAUGGAAUGUAGAUGGGGUGGCACACGGAGGCCAGAAGAGGGCACCAGAUCCCUUAGAACUGGGGUUACAGAUGUGAGCCACCCAACAUAGGUGCUGGAAUCAAACUCAAGAUCAGCAAGUGCUUUUAACCUCUGAGCCACUUCUUCAGGCCUGAAAACAUUAAAAACAAAAACAAACAAACAAACAAAAAACCUUGCUGUGUAGAAUCUAGUACUAUGUAUCUGAACAACUAGAACUAUUAACCAAUAAAAGAGCCUCUUAAAUGAUACUGCUAAGUGGUAAAUACCUAAAUUCAGUUUAUUAGCAUUUUUGAAGUGGAAAAUUAGUUUCUAAAUGUUAGAAUUAAUGAAAGAUUGUAACAAAAUAUUCUGAUUUAAACUAAUAGUAGAAAUAUAUUUUAAAACUAUUCAUGUGGUGAACAGCGUAAAGUCAUUCCAGCAGGUGGAAGACUCUUACUCCAGCCCCAGAAACAUAAAAGAGCUAAGGUGGGGUUGGUGUGUGGAGAGACUGUGGACUUGAGACAAUUGAACUUGAAAAUAACUAGCCUUGCAACUUGGAGUACACAGACAUUCACUCCUCCUUCUGAAAUAGCUGCCACAUUGUAGAUGUAUACAGUAUGCCAGCUGGGUGGGUAGUGCCCCUAGGGUUCAUAAGGAGAGUCUUCUGCCCAUUUAACUAGAUUAUUCCAACACUGUAGAAUAUGCAUGUGAGGUUAUCAGCCUGAGGAAGUUUAGUGAUUUGCCCAGUCAUUCUGCCACACAGUGGCAGAGCCAGCACCUCAGCAACUUGCUGCAUCCCAUGGAAUAUUUACUGCUGAGAAAAACAAAAUUCACUACAUACCUCAAUAGUUAUUUACCAUGAGAUUGGCGGUGAUAAUUAGAAACUGAUUAGGAUAGGGUGAGCAAAAGAAAUUAUAUAAAAGAAUUUCUGGGUUUUCUGCCUAGCCUGACAACCUGAGUUUAAUGUCCUGAACCCACAUGGUAGAAGAAAAAAAGACUUCUCCAAGUUGUCCUCUUGACUAACACAUACAUGAUAGUCCACAUGCCCUCACACAAGUGAUAACUGAUGUACUUUAAAUUUGAGAACCUGUAAAUCAGUUCUAGUCAUUUCUGUUUGAUUU